CGCUGGCGGCAGGCUUAACACAUGCAAGUCGAACGAGAAGCGCGCCUUCGGGUGCGUGGAAAGUGGCAGACGGGUGAGUAACGCGUGGGAACGUACCCUUUGGUUCGGAACAACUCCGGGAAACUGGAGCUAAUACCGGAUGUGCCCUUCGGGGGAAAGAUUUAUCGCCAAGGGAUCGGCCCGCGUCGGAUUAGCUUGUUGGUGGGGUAACGGCCUACCAAGGCUAUGAUCCGUAGCUGGUCUGAGAGGAUAAUCAGCCACACUGGGACUGAGACACGGCCCAGACUCCUACGGGAGGCAGCAGUGGGGAAUAUUGGACAAUGGGCGCAAGCCUGAUCCAGCCAUGCCGCGUGAGUGAUGAAGGCCCUAGGGUUGUAAAGCUCUUUCGCCAGGGACGAUAAUGACGGUACCUGGAUAAGAAGCCCCGGCUAACUUCGUGCCAGCAGCCGCGGUAAUACGAAGGGGGCUAGCGUUGUUCGGAAUUACUGGGCGUAAAGCGCAUGUAGGCGGAUCGUUAAGUCGGGGGUGAAAGCCCGAGGCUCAACCUCGGAACUGCCUUCGAUACUGGGCGAUCUCGA
This 578-nucleotide ribosomal RNA is filed under the name uncultured Alphaproteobacteria bacterium. RNAcentral's name for it is "bacterial SSU rRNA". It matches the Rfam family "Bacterial small subunit ribosomal RNA", at positions 34 to 645 of the family's 1533-position model. The record is from RNAcentral. Lineage: Bacteria; Pseudomonadati; Pseudomonadota; Alphaproteobacteria.